AAAACGAAAUGCUGUUGAAUAAAUCCACAAGCCACCAAAAUUUGUUCACAGUGAUAGUUUUACAGGGGAAACGUAGAUAAUAGUACCAAGAGUUUCAGACAUUAUAGUAAGUAACUUAGUACUGAGAUUUCUUCCUAGGCGAAUUCGAAUACCGAGGAGAGGAAGAUGGCGAAACGAUCGAGACCAAUGAUUGUAAUGCCUUUGCCGCUAUCUUCAUCUUGAUUUGGCCUCUCUGUGGAACGGGACUUGUACUCUUGAAAUUCUUGCUGAAUGCAGCUGCUGACGUGGCAUCGUUUACCUUUGUCCUCAUUUUCUUGCGAGUGUUUUCUUUUUUCGACGUAAAAUCGAACUAAUUCUUGUUUUUUUGUAAGAGAUAUUGAUUUAGCUGAUCUUCGAGACUCGGAUAUCGAAUAAUGCGUGAGAAUUCGAGUAUAUAUAGGAAAAUAAUUUCGAGGUCGAGUUAGCCUUGUUUCGAGUUGUU
Molecule: long non-coding RNA, 481 nt
Filed under: Erythranthe guttata (spotted monkey flower)
Lineage: Eukaryota; Viridiplantae; Streptophyta; Magnoliopsida; Lamiales; Phrymaceae
Description: long non-coding RNA (EGUT_LNC000827)
Source: RNAcentral